GACGAACGCUGGCGGCGUGCUUAACACAUGCAAGUCGAACGGAAAGGCCCUGCUUUUGUGGGGUGCUCGAGUGGCGAACGGGUGAGUAACACGUGAGUAACCUGCCCUUGACUUUGGGAUAACUUCAGGAAACUGGGGCUAAUACCGGAUAGGAGCUCCUGCUGCAUGGUGGGGGUUGGAAAGUUUCGGCGGUUGGGGAUGGACUCGCGGCUUAUCAGCUUGUUGGUGGGGUAGUGGCUUACCAAGGCUUUGACGGGUAGCCGGCCUGAGAGGGUGACCGGCCACCUUGGGGACUAAGAACCGCCCGGGCCCCCGCGGGAGGGAGCAGGGGGGAAAUUUGGCCAAAGGGCGGGAGCCUGAUUGCAGCAGCCCCGGGGGGGGAAUGGCGCCUUUGGGUUGUAAAACCCUUUCCCCCGGUGACGAACGGGGAGGGACGGUAGGGGAAAAAGAACACCCGCCAAACUACGUC
RNAcentral lists this ribosomal RNA (469 nucleotides) under uncultured bacterium. RNAcentral's name for it is "partial 16S ribosomal RNA". It matches the Rfam family "Bacterial small subunit ribosomal RNA", at positions 28 to 507 of the family's 1533-position model. The record is from RNAcentral.